This 468-nucleotide ribosomal RNA is filed under the name uncultured bacterium. RNAcentral's name for it is "partial 16S ribosomal RNA". It matches the Rfam family "Bacterial small subunit ribosomal RNA", at positions 28 to 507 of the family's 1533-position model. The record is from RNAcentral.
GACGAACGCUGGCGGCGUGCUUAACACAUGCAAGUCGAACGGAAAGGUCCUGCUUUUGUGGGGUGCUCGAGUGGCGAACGGGUGAGUAACACGUGAGUAACCUGCCCUUGACUUUGGGAUAACCUCAGGAAACUGGGGCUAAUACCGGAUAGGAGCUCCUGCUGCAUGGUGGGGGCUGGAAAGUUUCGGCGGUUGGGGAUGGACUCGCGGCUUAUCAGCUUGUUGGUGGGGUAGUGGCUUACCAAGGCUUUGACGGGUAGCCGGCCUGAGAGGGUGACAGGCCACAUUGGGACUGAGAUACGGCCCAGACUACUACGGGAGGCAGCAGUGGGGAAGAUUGCACAAUGGGCGGAAGCCUGAUGCAGCAACGCCGCGUGCGGGAUGACGUCCUUCGGGUUGUAAACCGCUUUCGCCUGUGACGAAGCGUGAGUGACGGUAAUGGGUAAAUAAGCACCGGCUAACUACGUG